GGAAGAAGGGGGCACAUGGUCAGACCUCCCCAGAGAAGGUGAUGUGAGGCCAACGCUGAAGAUGCUGCUGCUCCUGCUGCUUCUGGGGCCCACAGGCUCUGGGCUUGGUGCUCAUGUCUCUCAACAUCCAAGCAGGGCCAUCUGUGAGAGUGGGACCUCUGUGAAGAUCGAGUGUCGCUUUGUGGACUUCCAGGCCUCAACUGCGUUUUGGUACCGUCAGUUCCCCAAACAGAGCUUCGUCCUGAUGGCAACCUCUAAUGUGGGAUCUGAGGGCACCUACGAACAAAGCUUUGUCAAGAAAAAGUUUCCCAUCAGUCACCCAAACCUCAACUUUGCAUCUCUGGAGGUGACCAGCGCACAUUCUACAGACAGUCAGAGACCUAGACAAGAAGGUUUGCAGCAGCCUGCCCCCCCCCGCACCCCCCCCCGCACACCCCCCCGCCCUGCACACACCCCAGGAGCCCUCUAG
Molecule: non-coding RNA, 469 nt
Organism: Marmota monax (woodchuck)
Lineage: Eukaryota; Metazoa; Chordata; Mammalia; Rodentia; Sciuridae
Source: the annotation of a RefSeq genome assembly